This 253-nucleotide ribosomal RNA is filed under the name uncultured bacterium. RNAcentral's name for it is "partial 16S ribosomal RNA". It matches the Rfam family "Bacterial small subunit ribosomal RNA", at positions 524 to 776 of the family's 1533-position model. The record is from RNAcentral.
UACGAAGGGGACUAGCGUUGUUCGGAUUUACUGGGCGUAAAGCGCGCGUAGGCGGAUCGCUAAGUCAGGGGUGAAAUCCCAGGGCUCAACCCUGGAACUGCCUUUGAUACUGACGAUCUGGAGAUCGGGAGAGGUUGGUGGAAUUCCGAGUGUAGAGGUGAAAUUCGUAGAUAUUCGGAGGAACACCAGAAGCGAAGGCGGCCAACUGGCCCGAUACUGACGCUGAGGAGCGAAAGCGUGGGGAGCGAACAGG